RNAcentral lists this ribosomal RNA (689 nucleotides) under uncultured marine bacterium. RNAcentral describes it as "bacterial SSU rRNA". It matches the Rfam family "Bacterial small subunit ribosomal RNA", at positions 251 to 957 of the family's 1533-position model. The record is from RNAcentral.
GGUGGGGUAACGGCCUACCAAGUCUACGAUCUAUAGCUGGUUUUAGAGGAUGAUCAGCAACACUGGGACUGAGACACGGCCCAGACUCCCUACGGGAGGCAGCAGUGGGGAAUCUUAGACAAUGGGCGAAAGCCUGAUCUAGCCAUGCCGCGUGAGUGAUGAAGGCCUUAGGGUCGUAAAGCUCUUUCGCCAGGGAUGAUAAUGACAGUACCUGGUAAAGAAACCCCGGCUAACUCCGUGCCAGCAGCCGCGGUAAUACGGUGGGGGUUAGCGUUGUUCGGAAUUACUGGGCGUAAAGCGUACGUAGGCGGAUUGGAAAGUAUGGGGUGAAAUCCCAGGGCUCAACCCUGGAACUGCCCUGUAAACUAUCAGUCUAGAGUUCGAGAGAGGUGAGUGGAAUUCCAAGUGUAGAGGUGAAAUUCGUAGAUAUUUGGAGGAACACCAGUGGCGAAGGCGGCUCACUGGCUCGAUACUGACGCUGAGGUACGAAAGUGUGGGGAGCAAACAGGAUUAGAUACCCUGGUAGUCCACACCGUAAACGAUGAAUGCCAGACGUCGGGGGGCUUGCCCUUCGGUGUCACACCUAACGGAUUAAGCAUUCCGCCUGGGGAGUACGGUCGCAAGAUUAAAACUCAAAGGAAUUGACGGGGGCCCGCACAAGCGGUGGAGCAUGUGGUUUAAUUCGAAGC